Molecule: ribosomal RNA, 533 nt
Filed under: uncultured Acidobacteriota bacterium
Lineage: Bacteria; Pseudomonadati; Acidobacteriota
Description: bacterial SSU rRNA
Rfam family: Bacterial small subunit ribosomal RNA
Source: RNAcentral
AGAGUUUGAUUCUGGCUCAGAAUCAACGCUGGCGGCGUGCCUAACACAUGCAAGUCGCGCGCGAAAGGGGGGCAACCCCCAAGUAGAGCGGCGAACGGGUGAGUAACGCGUGGGUGAUCUUCCUUCGAGUGGGGAAUAACACCGGGAAACUGGUGCUAAUACCGCAUGACAUCCCUGGUUCAUUCCGGGGAUCAAAGCCGGGGACCGCAAGGCCUGGCGCUUGAAGAUAAGCCCGCGUCCGAUUAGCUAGUUGGCGGGGUAACGGCCCACCAAGGCUCCGAUCGGUAGCCGGCCUGAGAGGGCGGACGGCCACACUGGGACUGAGACACGGCCCAGACUCCUACGGGAGGCAGCAGUGGGGAAUUUUUCGCAAUGGGGGAAACCCUGACGAAGCAACGCCGCGUGGAGGAUGAAGGCCUUCGGGUCGUAAACUCCUGUCGACCGGGAAGAAUGCACCUGACCUAAUACGUCGGCGUGUUGACUGUACCGGUGGAGGAAGCCACGGCUAACUCUGUGCCAGCAGCCGCGGUAAU